RNAcentral lists this ribosomal RNA (469 nucleotides) under uncultured bacterium. RNAcentral describes it as "partial 16S ribosomal RNA". It matches the Rfam family "Bacterial small subunit ribosomal RNA", at positions 27 to 507 of the family's 1533-position model. The record is from RNAcentral.
GGCCGAACGCUGGCGGCGUGCUUAACACAUGCAAGUCGAACGGAAAGGCCCUGCUUUUGUGGGGUGCUCGAGUGGCGAACGGGUGAGUAACACGUGAGUAACCUGCCCUUGACUUUGGGAUAACUUCAGGAAACUGGGGCUAAUACCGGAUAGGAGCUCCUGCUGCAUGGUGGGGGUUGGAAAGUUUCGGCGGUUGGGGAUGGACUCGCGGCUUAUCAGCUUGUUGGUGGGGUAGUGGCUUACCAAGGCUUUGACGGGUAGCCGGCCUGAGAGGGUGACCGGCCACAUUGGGACUGAGAUACGGCCCAGACUCCUACGGGAGGCAGCAGUGGGGAAUAUUGCACAAUGGGCGGAAGCCUAAUGCAGCAACGCCGCGUGCGGGAUGACGGCCUUCGGGUUGUAAACCGCUUUCGCCUGUGACGAAGCGUGAGUGACGGUAAUGGGUAAAGAAGCACCGGCUAACUACGUG